Molecule: ribosomal RNA, 930 nt
Filed under: Triticum aestivum (bread wheat)
Lineage: Eukaryota; Viridiplantae; Streptophyta; Magnoliopsida; Poales; Poaceae
Description: partial small subunit ribosomal RNA
Source: RNAcentral
AUGGGCGUAUCCAAGUUGCCGUUCUCGGUCUGUGAUGAGCUCACGAGGAUGGUCAGAAGUUUUUAUUGGGGAUUGGCCAACGGAAAGCGAAAAGUACACUGGCGUGCAUGGGACGAUUUGUUACAGCCAAAAGAUAGGGGAGGUGCUGGUUUCCGUGAUUUCCGUUUAUUCAAUCAAGCAUUAUUAAGACAAGCCUGGAGAUUAAUAUCUAAACCUGACUGUUUGUGUGCUCAAGUGUUGAAAGCUAGAUAUUAUACCAAAGGCAAAUUGGAAGAUACCGUUUUCACAGGGAAUGCAUCGUCGUCUUGGCAAGGAAUUAGCCACGGACUUGAUUUGUUAAAAAAGGGCCUUAUUUGGAGAGUUGGUAACGGGCGUAACAUCCACAUCUGGCGUGAAAAUUGGAUUCCUCGGCCCUUUUCUUACAAGCCAAUUUCUAUGAAAGGGACGUGUCGACUUCGAUUUGUUUCUGAACUUUUGAAUGAUAACUGCUCCUGGAAGUAUGAUCUAUUGCAACGAUACUUCUUGCAGGCGGAUGUUGUUGAAAUUAUGAAAAUACGAGCAUCCCCGCGUCUUGGUGAAGAUACACUAGCCUGGGCCCGGAUAUUUCCUUCAUUAUUCACUGUUAAGAGUGCAUACCAAGUGGCCUUUGAUGAAAUUCACAGAAGUAACAUUGCUGGUUCAAGCACUAGACCUGAUGGUAGCCGGUUGGAAAUUAAUAUGGUCUUGUGAUGUACCACCCGCGGUCAGAAAUUUCGCUUGAGAUUGUCUACAAAUUCGCUUCCCUGCAGGACCGACCUGGUCUCGCGCCCGGCAGCAGGAUCAUGCUCGUCUCGGCCCGACAGUAGGACCGUGCUCGUCUCGCGCCCGGCAGCAGGACGUGUCGAUGGAGGCCAAUUUUGGCCAGCCUAUGGGUUUCGGUGUUGGGGGUAG